AUUAGAGUUUGAUCCUGGCUCAGAACGAACGCUGGCGGCAGGCCUAACACAUGCAAGUCGAACGCCCUGGCAACAGGGAGUGGCAGACGGGUGAGUAACGCGUGGGAAUCUACCUUGUGGUACGGAACAACCAAGGGAAACUUUGGCUAAUACCGUAUGAGCCCUUCGGGGGAAAGAUUUAUCGCCAUAAGAUGAGCCCGCGUAGGAUUAGCUAGUUGGUGAGGUAAUGGCUCACCAAGGCGACGAUCCUUAGCUGGUCUGAGAGGAUGACCAGCCACACUGGGACUGAGACACGGCCCAGACUCCUACGGGAGGCAGCAGUGGGGAAUAUUGGACAAUGGGCGCAAGCCUGAUCCAGCCAUGCCGCGUGUGUGAUGAAGGCCUUAGGGUUGUAAAGCACUUUCGCCGAUGAAGAUAAUGACUGUAGUCGGAGAAGAAGCCCCGGCUAACUUCGUGCCAGCAGCCGCGGUAAUACGAAGGGGGCUAGCGUUGUUCGGAAUUACUGGGCGUAAAGCGUACGUAGGCGGAUUGUUAAGUGAGGGGUGAAAUCCCGAGGCUCAACCUCGGAACUGCCUUUCAUACUGGCAAUCUUGAGUCCGGGAGAGGUGAGUGGAACUCCUAGUGUAGAGGUGAAAUUCGUAGAUAUUAGGAAGAACACCAGUGGCGAAGGCGGCUCACUGGCCCGGAACUGACGCUGAGGUACGAAAGCGUGGGGAGCAAACAGGAUUAGAUACCCCGGUAGUCCACGCCGUAAACGAUGGAUGCUAGCUGUUAUCAGUAUCGAUCCUGGUAGUAGCGAAGCUAACGCGUUAAGCAUCCCGCCUGUGGAGUACGAGCGCAAGCUUAAAACAUAAAGGAAUUGACGGGGACCCGCACAAGCGGUGGAGCGUGUUGUUUAAUUCGAUGAUAAGCGUAGAACCUUACCAAGGUUUGACAUCCUUGUGAAGGUUUCCGAAAGGAAACUGUGCUUUUAGAACGCAGUGACAGGUGAUGCAUGGCCGUCGUCAGCUCGUGUCGUGAGAUGUAUGGUUAAGUCCAUUAACGAGCGCAACCCUUAUGGUCAGUUGAAUUUCUCUGGCUAGACUGCCCCGGUAACGGGGAGGAAGGAGGGGAUGAUGUCAGGUCAGUAUUUCCCUUACACCUUGGGCGACAAACACGCUACAAUGGCCGGUACAAUGGGCAGCCAACCCGUAAGGGGGAGCAAAUCCCAUCAAAGCCGGUCCCAGUUCGGAUCGAGGGCUGAAACUCGCCCUCGUGAAGCCGGAAUCGCUAGUAAUGGCAGGUCAGCACACUGCCGUGAAUACGUUCUCGGGUCUUGUACACACCGCCCGUCAAGUCAUGAAAGUCGCCAAUACCCGAAGUUCCAUCUUUGAUGGACCUAAGGUAGGGGAGAUGAUUGGGACU
Molecule: ribosomal RNA, 1404 nt
Filed under: Kaistia sp. LWQ2
Lineage: Bacteria; Pseudomonadati; Pseudomonadota; Alphaproteobacteria; Hyphomicrobiales; Kaistiaceae
Description: partial 16S ribosomal RNA
Rfam family: Bacterial small subunit ribosomal RNA
Source: RNAcentral